GACAGAGGGUGCAAACGUUGUUCGGAAUUACUGGGCGUAAAGGGCUCGUAGGCGGCCAACUAAGUCAGACGUGAAAUCCCUCGGCUUAACCGGGGAACUGCGUCUGAUACUGGAUGGCUUGAGUUUGGGAGAGGGAUGCGGAAUUCCAGGUGUAGCGGUGAAAUGCGUAGAUAUCAGGAGGAACACCGGUGGCGAAGGCGGGUCUCUGGGCAACAACUGACGCUGAGGAGCGAAAGCGUGGGGAGCGAACAGG
Molecule: ribosomal RNA, 253 nt
Filed under: uncultured bacterium
Lineage: Bacteria
Description: partial 16S ribosomal RNA
Rfam family: Bacterial small subunit ribosomal RNA
Source: RNAcentral